Long non-coding RNA from Acinonyx jubatus (cheetah), 1236 nucleotides. RefSeq lists it as uncharacterized. The record is from RefSeq and is a predicted model, not a curated record. The transcript is spliced from 3 exons. NCBI's taxonomy places the organism in Eukaryota, Metazoa, Chordata, Mammalia, Carnivora, Felidae.
UGGGCAGGGACCCCAGAAGUCUGUCCGCCUUGGAUAAGGCACAACCUUCCACCAGUGACAGAAAGAUCAGUGGUUGCCUGGGGGCUCGGGGAGGUGGGAUGCAUAGCGCCGGGCCCAAGGGCACUUUCUGGGGGGUGAUGAUGGAAUGUUCUAGAUCUUGAUCCGGGUGGUGGUCACACACAGGUGUCCAAACUCAGCCCACUUUCCCCUUAAGACCUGUGUAUUUCACUGCAUGUAAAGACCUUAGUGAUUAAAAAAAAAACCAAAACCGUGUCUGUAACAAAGGGUCUGCUUUUUGGGGUUGGGGCCCACGAUCUCCUCUCUGUCUCGAGCCGCCCAAGCUCCCCAGGCAAAACAGAGGUUCUGUGCAAGUGGAAAGAGCCUCGCGCGGGGGCUCCUGAGGCCACCGCGCCCGCCUUCCUGCGGCAUGUCUGUCUUGUUAUUGCCAGAGGCAGAGAAUUGCUCCCGAGGCGGAAUCUUGAAUAUUCAUCUGAUUUACGGCCCGCUGCCGACAGCUUUAUGAAUCCGCCCACCAAUACCUGCAGCCAGUCAUCAAUCUUCCCCCGAGAUUGUGCCUUUGCCAGUAACUCAUGAAUUAAAGAGGCCCCCGGCGGCCCCCACGCCUCCCUCCCCUCGCGGCCAGGCGGGAUGGAAGGAGGGCCUGACCCGAAGUCAAAACACUGUUGUCGUCUUGCGGCGGAGGCUCUGGGUGACCUUGGAUGACUCACCCAGACUGUCUGCGGCGCGAGCAAGAGAAAACUUGGGAGCCUCAGGCCUGCAGGGAACAGAGGAGGCCAUCGCCGUAAAGAGCUGACAUUUAUUAGGCGCUUACUGUGUGCCAAGCUCAUUCGGAACACCUGACAUGCGCCCCUUCUGUGAACUCCCACUAAGAGGAAGGACCAAUCCUGCGAGAUGCCCGUCACAGACACACCCAGAGGCCACGGGAAGGUGCCAACAUCUCCAGCUUGCCGGCUGUCUUCACCCCAGCCUGCGAGGGCCAUUCUGACUUGGACAGCCAUGCAGACUCUCGCGGGCAGCUGGGAGAGAGGACGGUGCAAACCCCAGGGAGGGCCCUUCACACACACCGGGGGGAGGGCAGUGGGCUUCCAGCAGCUGGCAGCUUGGUUGCCAGACGGGACUUUGGGGCCUCUCAUUCCUGAGCAGUGCGUCUGAAAAACUCACAAAUUUCCUAACAUAACUCGGGGAGCCUUGAUUGUUAAUAAAACUGUCUCUUUA